This 252-nucleotide ribosomal RNA is filed under the name uncultured bacterium. RNAcentral describes it as "partial 16S ribosomal RNA". It matches the Rfam family "Bacterial small subunit ribosomal RNA", at positions 524 to 776 of the family's 1533-position model. The record is from RNAcentral.
UACGGAAGGGGCAAGCGUUGUUCGGAAUCAUUGGGCGUAAAGGGCGCGUAGGUGGCUCUGUGUGUCUACCGUGAAAGCGUACGGCUCAACCGUAUUUUGUCGGUAGAAACUGCAGGACUUGAGGCUGGGAGGGGCUGGUGGAAUUCCCUGUGUAGCGGUGAAAUGCGUAGAGAUGGGGGAGAACACUCGUGGCGAAGGCGGCCAGCUAGACCAGUUCUGACACUGAGGCGCGACAGCGUGGGAGCAAACAGG